Molecule: ribosomal RNA, 500 nt
Filed under: uncultured bacterium
Lineage: Bacteria
Description: partial 16S ribosomal RNA
Rfam family: Bacterial small subunit ribosomal RNA
Source: RNAcentral
AUUGAACGCUGGCGGCAUGCCUUACACAUGCAAGUCGAACGGCAGCACGGGAGCAAUCCUGGUGGCGAGUGGCGAACGGGUGAGUAAAGUAUCGGAACGUGCCCAGUCGUGGGGGAUAACGUAGCGAAAGUUACGCUAAUACCGCAUACGAUCUAUGGAUGAAAGCGGGGGAUCGCAAGACCUCGAGCGAUUGGAGCGGCGGAAAUCAGAUUAGGUGGUUGGUGGGGUAAAGGCUCAACAAGCCGACGAUCUGUAGCUGGUGUGAGAGGACGACCAGCCACACUGGGACUGAGACACGGCCCAGACUCCUACGGGAGGCAGCAGUGGGGAAUUUUGGACAAUGGGCGCAAGCCUGAUCCAGCCAUGCCGCGUGCAGGAUGAAGGCCUUCGGGUUGUAAACUGCUUUUGUACGGAACGAAAAGGUUUGACUUAAUACGUUGGACUCAUGACGGUACCGUAAGAAUAAGCACCGGCUAACUACGUGCCAGCCGCCGCAGUAA